Molecule: transfer RNA, 76 nt
Filed under: Candidatus Rokuibacteriota bacterium
Lineage: Bacteria; Candidatus Rokuibacteriota
Description: tRNA-Ala
Rfam family: tRNA
About the family: Transfer RNA (tRNA) molecules are approximately 80 nucleotides in length. Their secondary structure includes four short double-helical elements and three loops (D, anti-codon, and T loops).
Source: RNAcentral
GGGGGUGUAGCUCAUCUGGGAGAGCGCGGCGUUCGCAACGCCGAGGUAGCCGGUUCGAUCCCGGUCACCUCCACCA